Peromyscus maniculatus bairdii (prairie deer mouse) is the source of this 282-nucleotide non-coding RNA. Lineage: Eukaryota; Metazoa; Chordata; Mammalia; Rodentia; Cricetidae. The record is from RefSeq and is a predicted model, not a curated record.
GUUGUUGUUGUUUUUCAGCUGUCCAAAGCAUUGUGUUUACCGACAUUCCAAAGGUUUCUUGUGUACCUUUCAUAAAAUGUUGGUCUUCUCAAGAGUUACGUACAUCACCUUGUCAUUCCUUCUUUUUUCUGAAAGUUUCUUUAUCAUAUCAGCAUUUUUCAGGACUCAUUCAAUGUGUAGAAAUUUUGUUCCUUAUAUGACUUGCCCCAAAGAGAAUAAUCCUGUCUGUGGGUCCAAUGGCCAUACUUAUACCGGCAGAUGCAUGUUCUGUAAAGCAUACAA